AUACCGUGAAACUGCGAAUGGCUCAUUAAAUCAGUUAUCGUUUAUUUGAUAGUACCUUACUACAUGGAUACCUGUGGUAAUUCUAGAGCUAAUACAUGCUAAAAACCUCGACUUCGGGAGGGGUGUAUUUAUUAGAUAAAAAACCAAUGCCCUUCGGGGCUCCUUGGUGAUUCACAAUAACUUCUCAGAUCGCAUGGCCUUGCGCCGGCGACGGUUCAUUCAAAUUUCUGCCCUAUCAACUUUCGAUGGUAAGGUAUUGGCUUACCAUGGUUUCUACGGGUAACGGGGAAUUAGGGUUCGAUUCCGGAGAGUUAGCCUGAGAAACGGCUAACACAUCCAAGGAAGGCAGCAGGCGCGCAAAUUACCCAAUCCUGAUACAGGGAGGUAGUGACAAUAAAUACUGAUACAGGGCUCUUUUGGGUCUUGUAAUUGGAAUGAGUACAAUUUAAACCUCUUAACGAGGAACAAUUGGAGGGCAAGUCUGGUGCCAGCAGCCGCGGUAAUUCCAGCUCCAAUAGCGUAUAUUAAAGUUGUUGCAGUUAAAAAGCUCGUAGUUGAACCUUUGGCCUGGCUGGCAGGUCCGCCUCACCGCGUGCACUUGUCCGGCCGGGCCUUUUCUUCUGGAGAACCGCAUGCCCUUCACUGGGUGUGUUGGGGACCAGGACUUUUACUUUGAAAAAAUUAGAGUGUUCAAAGCAGGCCUUUGCUCGAAUAUUACAGCAUGGAAUAAUGGAAUAGGACGUGCGGUUCUAUUUUGUUGGUUUCUAGGACCGCCGUAAUGAUUAAUAGGGACAGUCGGGGGCAUCAGUAUUCAAUUGUCAGAGGUGAAAUUCUUGGAUUUAUUGAAGACUAACUACUGCGAAAGCAUUUGCCAAGGAUGUUUUCAUUAAUCAGUGAACGAAAGUUAGGGGAUCGAAGACGAUCAGAUACCGUCGUAGUCUUAACCAUAAACUAUGCCGACUAGGGAUCGGGCGGUGUUAUUAUUUUG
This 988-nucleotide ribosomal RNA is filed under the name Pseudosplanchnonema phorcioides. Its description in RNAcentral is "SSU rRNA". It matches the Rfam family "Eukaryotic small subunit ribosomal RNA", at positions 76 to 1073 of the family's 1831-position model. The record is from RNAcentral. Lineage: Eukaryota; Fungi; Ascomycota; Dothideomycetes; Pleosporales; Massarinaceae.